AGCAGCCGCGGUAAUUCCAGCUCCAAUAGCGUAUAUUAAAGUUGUUGCAGUUAAAAAGCUCGUAGUUGAAUUUCGGGAUCAAAGAAUCGGUCAUGCCUUGGUAUGUACUGGUUUUAUUGGUUCUCACCUUCUAAAGAACCAUGAUGUCAUUCAUUUGAUGUUAUGGGGAAUUAGGACUGUUACCUUGAAAAAAUUAGAGUGUUUAAAGCAGGCUCACGCUUGAAUACAUUAGCAUGGAAUAAUGAAAUAGGACGUUUGAUUCUAUUUUGUUGGUUUCUAGGAUCGACGUAAUGAUUAAUAGGGAUAGUUGGGGGCAUUAGUAUUCAAUUGUCAGAGGUGAAAUUCUUGGAUUUAUUGAAGACUAACUACUGCGAAAGCAUUUGCCAAGGAUGUUUUCAUUAAUCAAGAACGAAAGUUAGGGGAUCGAAGACGAUCAGAUACCGUCGUAGUCUUAACCAUAAACUAUGCCGACUAGGGAUCGGAUGAUGUUAAUUUUUUAAUGACUCAUUCGGCGCCUUAC
This 520-nucleotide unclassified non-coding RNA is filed under the name uncultured Archaeospora. Its description in RNAcentral is "SSU rRNA". It matches the Rfam family "Eukaryotic small subunit ribosomal RNA", at positions 569 to 1091 of the family's 1831-position model. Lineage: Eukaryota; Fungi; Glomeromycota; Glomeromycetes; Archaeosporales; Archaeosporaceae. The record is from RNAcentral.